This 330-nucleotide ribosomal RNA is filed under the name Streptococcus mutans. RNAcentral describes it as "bacterial SSU rRNA". It matches the Rfam family "Bacterial small subunit ribosomal RNA", at positions 169 to 488 of the family's 1533-position model. The record is from RNAcentral. Lineage: Bacteria; Bacillati; Bacillota; Bacilli; Lactobacillales; Streptococcaceae.
CCGCAUAAUAUUAAUUAUUGCAUGAUAAUUGAUUGAAAGAUGCAAGCGCAUCACUAGUAGAUGGACCUGCGUUGUAUUAGCUAGUUGGUAAGGUAAGAGCUUACCAAGGCGACGAUACAUAGCCGACCUGAGAGGGUGAUCGGCCACACUGGGACUGAGACACGGCCCAGACUCCUACGGGAGGCAGCAGUAGGGAAUCUUCGGCAAUGGACGAAAGUCUGACCGAGCAACGCCGCGUGAGUGAAGAAGGUUUUCGGAUCGUAAAGCUCUGUUGUAAGUCAAGAACGUGUGUGAGAGUGGAAAGUUCACACAGUGACGUAGCUACCAGAA